Molecule: ribosomal RNA, 253 nt
Filed under: uncultured bacterium
Lineage: Bacteria
Description: partial 16S ribosomal RNA
Rfam family: Bacterial small subunit ribosomal RNA
Source: RNAcentral
UACGUAGGUGGCAAGCGUUGUCCGGAUUUACUGGGCGUAAAGAGCGCGCAGGCGGUCGUUCAAGUCGCGUGUGAAAGCCCCCGGCUCAACUGGGGAGGGUCACGCGAUACUGAUCGACUCGAAGGCAGGAGAGGGUAGUGGAAUUCCCGGUGUAGCGGUGAAAUGCGCAGAUAUCGGGAGGAACACCAGUGGCGAAGGCGGCACUCUGGGCCGGUACUGACGCUGAGGAGCGAAAGCGUGGGGAGCGAACAGG